This 650-nucleotide ribosomal RNA is filed under the name uncultured bacterium. RNAcentral describes it as "bacterial SSU rRNA". It matches the Rfam family "Bacterial small subunit ribosomal RNA", at positions 8 to 655 of the family's 1533-position model. The record is from RNAcentral.
AGAGUUUGAUCAUGGCUCAGAUUGAACGCUGGCGGCAGGCCUAACACAUGCAAGUCGAACGGUAGCAGGAUGUGCUUGCACAUCGCUGACGAGUGGCGGACGGGUGAGUAAUGCUUGGGAACUUGCCUUUGCGAGGGGGAUAACAGUUGGAAACGACUGCUAAUACCGCAUAAUGUCUUCGGACCAAACGGGGCUUAGGCUCCGGCGCAGAGAGAGGCCCAAGUGAGAUUAGCUAGUUGGUGGGGUAAAGGCUCACCAAGGCAACGAUCUCUAGCUGUUCUGAGAGGAAGAUCAGCCACACUGGGACUGAGACACGGCCCAGACUCCUACGGGAGGCAGCAGUGGGGAAUAUUGCACAAUGGGGGAAACCCUGAUGCAGCCAUGCCGCGUGUGUGAAGAAGGCCUUCGGGUUGUAAAGCACUUUCAGUUGUGAGGAAAAGUUAGUAGUUAAUACCUGCUAGCCGUGACGUUAACAACAGAAGAAGCACCGGCUAACUCCGUGCCAGCAGCCGCGGUAAUACGGAGGGUGCGAGCGUUAAUCGGAAUUACUGGGCGUAAAGCGCACGCAGGCGGUUUGUUAAGCUAGAUGUGAAAGCCCCGGGCUCAACCUGGGAUGGUCAUUUAGAACUGGCAGACUAGAGUCUUGGAGA